Long non-coding RNA from Ooceraea biroi (clonal raider ant), 204 nucleotides. RefSeq lists it as uncharacterized. The record is from RefSeq and is a predicted model, not a curated record. Lineage: Eukaryota; Metazoa; Arthropoda; Insecta; Hymenoptera; Formicidae.
GAUUAUCAUUAUAUUGAAUGUCUGAGCAGUCAGAUGUCCUAGAAGUAUUUUCGUGUAUGUACAUACAUGUCGUCUUCCAUAUCCAUGAAGAAAAAUAUUUAAAACUUUUUACAAAAACAAUGAGAUUCCACUAAAAAAACUUCACAAAGGUGAAAAAAAUACGCCAAGUACAUAAAAAAUCCUAACUUGUAUGCAACAAGAAGU